GACGAACGCGGCGGCGUGCCUAAUACAUGCAAGUCGAACGAGAGCGACCGGUGCUUGCACUGGUCAAUCUAGUGGCGAACGGGUGAGUAACACGUGGGUAACCUGCCCACCAGAGGGGGAUAACAUUCGGAAACGGAUGCUAAAACCGCAUAGGUUCUAGAGUCGCAUGACUCAAGAAGGAAAAGAGGCUUCGGCUUCUGCUGAUGGAUGACCCGCGGUGCAUUAGCUAGUUGGUGAGGUAACGGCUCACCAAGGCCGUGAUGCAUAGCCGACCUGAGAGGGUGAUCGGCCACAUUGGGACUGAGACACGGCCCAAACUCCUACGGGAGGCAGCAGUAGGGAAUCUUCCGCAAUGGACGCAAGUCUGACGGAGCAACGCCGCGUGAGUGAAGAAGGAUUUCGGUUCGUAAAACUCUGUUGUUAGAGAAGAACAGCGCAUAGAGUAAACUGUUAUGCGU
Molecule: ribosomal RNA, 458 nt
Filed under: Granulicatella elegans
Lineage: Bacteria; Bacillati; Bacillota; Bacilli; Lactobacillales; Carnobacteriaceae
Description: bacterial SSU rRNA
Rfam family: Bacterial small subunit ribosomal RNA
Source: RNAcentral